UCUUGCGCAGGCUACCAUGCAGUCGAGCGGUACAGGAGAAGCUUGCUUUCUUGCUGACGAGCGGCGGACGGGUGAGUAAUGUAUGGGGAUCUGCCCGAUAGAGGGGGAUAACUACUGGAAACGGUGGCUAAUACCGCAUAAUGUCUACGGACCAAAGCAGGGGCUCUUCGGACCUUGCACUAUCGGAUGAACCCAUAUGGGAUUAGCUAGUAGGUGGGGUAAAGGCUCACCUAGGCGACGAUCUCUAGCUGGUCUGAGAGGAUGAUCAGCCACACUGGGACUGAGACACGGCCCAGACUCCUACGGGAGGCAGCAGUGGGGAAUAUUGCACAAUGGGCGCAAGCCUGAUGCAGCCAUGCCGCGUGUAUGAAGAAGGCCUUAGGGUUGUAAAGUACUUUCAGCGGGGAGGAAGGUGAUAAGGUUAAUACCCUUAUCAAUUGACGUUACCCGCAGAAGAAGCACCGGCUAACUCCUGCC
This 477-nucleotide ribosomal RNA is filed under the name Proteus mirabilis. RNAcentral describes it as "bacterial SSU rRNA". It matches the Rfam family "Bacterial small subunit ribosomal RNA", at positions 36 to 509 of the family's 1533-position model. Lineage: Bacteria; Pseudomonadati; Pseudomonadota; Gammaproteobacteria; Enterobacterales; Morganellaceae. The record is from RNAcentral.